This 440-nucleotide ribosomal RNA is filed under the name uncultured bacterium. Its description in RNAcentral is "partial 16S ribosomal RNA". It matches the Rfam family "Bacterial small subunit ribosomal RNA", at positions 338 to 795 of the family's 1533-position model. The record is from RNAcentral.
CCUACGGGUGACAGCAGUAGGGAAUAUUGCACAAUGGGGGAAACCCUGAUGCAGCGACGCCGCGUGAGUGAAGAAGGAUUUCGGUAUGUAAAGCUCUAUCAGCAGGGAAGAGAAUGACGGUACCUGAGUAAGAAGCACCGGCUAACUACGUGCCAGCAGCCGCGGUAAUACGUAGGGGGCAAGCGUUAUCCGGAUUUACUGGGUGUAAAGGGAGCGUAGACGGCGAAGAAAGUCUGAAGGGAAAGCCCGCGGCUCAACCGAGGAACUGCUUUGGAAACUUUUUUGCUGGAGUACCGGAGAGGGAAGCGGAAUUCCUAGUGUAGCGGUGAAAUGCGUAGAUAUUAGGAGGAACACCAGUGGCGAAGGCGGCUUACUGGACGGUAACUGACAUUGAUGCUCGAAAGUGUGGGUAUCAAACAGGAUUAGAUACCCUAGUAGUC